Molecule: non-coding RNA, 26 nt
Filed under: Homo sapiens (human)
Lineage: Eukaryota; Metazoa; Chordata; Mammalia; Primates; Hominidae
Source: RNAcentral
UGCUUCCUGUACAGCUUACAGAACCA